Paramuricea clavata is the source of this 470-nucleotide non-coding RNA. The record is from the annotation of a GenBank genome assembly. Lineage: Eukaryota; Metazoa; Cnidaria; Anthozoa; Malacalcyonacea; Plexauridae.
CCUGAAAAACACCUUGAAUAAUAUUGUAUUAAUGCACAGUAAUAAAACACUUAAAAUAUAGAUAUUUUUAAUAUACCGUUUUAUAUUAUUAAAACACUACGAAUAUUGCUUUUACCGUAGUUCGACUAUUUUCUUCUUGUUUUCAAAGUCAUAUUAAUAAAGAGUCCGUGCACGCCAACACUUUCAUUUAAACAAUUGUAACACAGUGGAUUUCCUUUCAACACGUGUUUAAAUCGUUCUUUGGCUAGACUGUUUCAAGAAAAAUUCGUUAACCUACAUUCCCGCAUUCCCCCGUUCCCGCAUUUCCCCAUUCCCGCAUUUCCCCAUUCCCGUUACCUAUUUUAAAGGCAGCCUUCCCUGUUCCCCCAUUCCCCGUUCCCAAAUUCCCUGCUCCGCACUCCCCCAUUCCCCCCUUCCCACAUUGCCUGUUCCCCCAUUCCCUGAUUCCCCGUUCUCCCAUUCCCCCAUUG